This 460-nucleotide ribosomal RNA is filed under the name uncultured bacterium. RNAcentral's name for it is "partial 16S ribosomal RNA". It matches the Rfam family "Bacterial small subunit ribosomal RNA", at positions 338 to 795 of the family's 1533-position model. The record is from RNAcentral.
CCUACGGGUGGCAGCAGUGAGGAAUAUUGGUCAAUGGGCGGAAGCCUGAACCAGCCAAGUAGCGUGCAGGAUGACGGCCCUACGGGUUGUAAACUGCUUUUAUACGGGAAUAACGCGCCUUACGUGUAGGGCUUUGCAUGUACCGUAUGAAUAAGGACCGGCUAAUUCCGUGCCAGCAGCCGCGGUAAUACGGAAGGUCCGGGCGUUAUCCGGAUUUAUUGGGUUUAAAGGGUGCGUAGGCCGCAUGUCAAGCGUGCGGUGAAAUGUCCGGGCUCAACCCCGGCCUGGCAGGGCAAACUGGCAUGCUUGAGUCGGCGGAAAGCAUGCGGAAUGCGUGGUGUAGCGGUGAAAUGCUUAGAUAUGACGAAGAACCCCGAUUGCGAAGGCAGCUUGCUGCAGCGGAACUGACGCUGAUGCUCGAAAGCGCGGGUAUCGAACAGGAUUAGAUACCCGUGUAGUC